RNAcentral lists this ribosomal RNA (640 nucleotides) under uncultured bacterium. RNAcentral describes it as "bacterial SSU rRNA". It matches the Rfam family "Bacterial small subunit ribosomal RNA", at positions 842 to 1482 of the family's 1533-position model. The record is from RNAcentral.
AGUGGCGCAGCUAACGCACUAAGUUGACCGCCUGGGGAGUACGGCCGCAAGGUUAAAACUCAAAUGAAUUGACGGGGGCCCGCACGAGCGGUGGAGCAUGUGGUUUAAUUCGACGCAACGCGAAGAACCUUACCUGGCCUUGACAUCCUGCGAACUUUCUAGAGAUAGAUUGGUGCCUUCGGGAACGCAGUGACAGGUGCUGCAUGGCCGUCGUCAGCUCGUGUCGUGAGAUGUUGGGUUAAGUCCCGUAACGAGCGCAACCCCUAUCCUUGGUUGCUAGCAGUUCGGCUGAGAACUCCAGGGAGACUGCCGGUGACAAACCGGAGGAAGGUGGGGAUGACGUCAGGUCAUCAUGGCCCUUACGGCCAGGGCUACACACGUGCUACAAUGGCGCGCACAGAGGGCUGCAAACCCGCGAGGGUAAGCCAAUCUCUUAAAACGCGUCGUAGUCCGGAUCGCAGUCUGCAACUCGACUGCGUGAAGUCGGAAUCGCUAGUAAUCGCGAAUCAGAAUGUCGCGGUGAAUACGUUCCCGGGCCUUGUACACACCGCCCGUCACACCAUGGGAGUGGAUUGCACCAGAAGUGGUUAAUCUAGCCUUCGGGAGGACGAUCACCACGGUGUGGUUCAUGACUGGGGUG